RNAcentral lists this ribosomal RNA (254 nucleotides) under uncultured bacterium. RNAcentral's name for it is "partial 16S ribosomal RNA". It matches the Rfam family "Bacterial small subunit ribosomal RNA", at positions 524 to 776 of the family's 1533-position model. The record is from RNAcentral.
GACGGAGGGCGCAAGCGUUGUUCGGAAUUACUGGGCGUAAAGCGCGGGCAGGUGGUCUGUUAAGUCGUUUGUGAAAAUCCGGGGCUCAACCCCGUGAAAUGCGUACGAUACUGGCAGGCUGGAGAUCGGUAGAGGCUAGCGGAAUUCCUGGUGUAGCGGUGGAAUGGGUAGAGAUCAGGAAGAGCACCCGUGGCGAAGGCGGCUAGCUGGGCCGAGUCUGACAAUCAUCCGCGAAAGCGUGGGGAGCAAACAGG